Molecule: long non-coding RNA, 1270 nt
Organism: Ruditapes philippinarum (Manila clam)
Lineage: Eukaryota; Metazoa; Mollusca; Bivalvia; Venerida; Veneridae
Exons: 3
Source: RefSeq, a predicted model, not a curated record
AACAGUGUGUAUAGGCUAGAACUUUCAGUUUGCAUUUUAGGGUCAUGACGGCUUUCCCGUUGCUGUCAACAAACUUUAACCUUUUUCAUAACUUUUCAGAUCUUGGUGUAUUGUCUUCAUACUUGGCCACAACAACCCUUCAAAUAGACCAGACUAAACUUGACCUCCAUAUAAACAUUCAAGAUGGUCGGCCUACAUGUCAGAUUUGUGAAUGUGAACGGCAGGAUAUCGAUUUUAAGGAUGCUUUAGGGUCAAUGAGGAUGAAAUCAAGAGAGAUAAAGGCUAAAAUGUGAGACUGUCAAUCUGACAAACCUUGCAGUGAAUAAAUGGAAACAGAGAGGCGUUUGUAUGAUAGAACAGUAAUAGCAGGAGUGAUAAGGACAGAUGCAUGUAGAUGUGUCUUCAUGUCGGAAACACUACCAGAGAAAUUGAAAUAUUUGGGUUUUUCAAAACUUACAAGAAAUUGGAAUACCAGGAGACUGCUUGCCCUUUGCAAUGUUGGAUGAUAUGAUGUCGAAAGCCUCAUGAAUAUAGUAACUUGACUUAAUCUAAUUAGAAAAAGAAUUGACAUUGAGGAGAAAACCAGUCACCAGUCUUUCACCAAGAACAUGAGAUAACUUUCGAAUAUUUGAAAUAUCAUAAUAUGUAUAGAACUUUAAUGAGCCAACAGUUUUUCACCAGGAAAAUAAGAUCACUUAUCUAUUUUUGAGAUAUGUAUGAACAGAACUCUAUCAACUUCAAUGUGAGAGUUUAUCACGAAGAACAUGAGAUAACCUAUGUAUGAACAGAACCACAUUUGUAUAUAGAGGCGCCAGUUCAUCACCAAGAAGAUGAGCUAACUUAUCAAUGUUUGAAAUCUGUUAUACCCCCGCACAACAAAGUUGUAAGGGGAGUAUACUGGAAUCAGCUUGUCCGGCCGACAGGAGUUCGUCAGUUUUUUCUUGUCCGUCCAAUAACUUAAGAUUCCUUUGACCCACAGUCUUCAUAUUUGGCAUGGAGGUAAGUCAUGAUUAGUAGAUGACAUCUGUUAAUUUUGAGAACACCAAGUCAAAGGUCAAGGUCACAGGGUCUUGACUGAAGAAAGCUUUUCUGCCCAAUAACUUAAGAAUCCUUCGACCCACAGUCUUCAUUUUUGGCAUGGAGGUUAGUCAUGAUUAGUAGAUGACCCCUAUUUAUUUUCAGGUCACCAGGUCUAAGGUCAUGGUCACAGGGGCCUUGGCUAAUGAAAGCUUGUCCACCCAAUUACCUAAGAAUCCUUUGACCCGUAGUC